This is a long non-coding RNA of Adelges cooleyi (spruce gall adelgid), 1507 nucleotides long. RefSeq lists it as uncharacterized. Lineage: Eukaryota; Metazoa; Arthropoda; Insecta; Hemiptera; Adelgidae. The transcript has 7 exons. The record is from RefSeq and is a predicted model, not a curated record.
UCUUCUAAAGUAUAAACGUUUAUGCUGUACAUUGCAUACAGCAUAAUUUGCCCAAUGUGUGCUUGGCACUAUAGCUGUUAAUAUACCAAUUUGUACGGUAGUCAUUUCACAAAGGGGCUUCGUUAGGCAAAGGCACGAUUCGAGAAAUUGAAAUCGUUUAUCCGGUUUUGGAUCUUUGUCAGACAUAGUUGUAAUGAUAUGAUAUCAGAGAUAAAUUGCAUUUAACGAUUAUCUUUGGGAACGUUUAUUCAAAAAAACCAAUAUGUAUUUCGGCUACAACAUCUCGCUCAUAUUCUAUAAUGUGCAAUAGUUUGAACAUAUUUUGAUGACAACGGAAAAACUAAUUCACAUUUUUUUACAAUUGACGGCUCAGACGGUAUUGGUUCUUCUUUUUAAACGUUACAAAUCGAAUUAAAUAAGUAAUUCGAUAAACAAUUAAGUACCUGCUAAACUAAUGGCGCCCAUCUACCACCGGGGAAGAGUAGGAAAUUUCACGCGGUUUUUAAUGGAACGUAUGCGACAAUUUUGGCCGUCGUAUGAAAAAUACAUAUUAUAUUUCGAUAACUUUAAAAGAGCAAUAAACGUUGAUAUUCUUCCAAAACUGUUGUGCGAUAGAAGUGGAUAACUGGCGGCAAUCUAUACUGCAUUCAAAAAAAAAUGUUUGACGAAUCGGCAAGAUCAAAAAUCAAAAUCGAACACUUAAUUGAAUAUAGUUAUCCUGAAUUCGAGAAUAUUACAAGGGAAAUCCGAUAGAUGACUAUAACAUACCAUAUGCCGUGGUCAUUUUCCAGUAUAUUUGUGUGGUGAAAAUGCAUCUCUAGAGCCUCCAGACUUAAUAAAUUGUACAUUCAUCUAUACAAUGCAAACGACAAUAGCAGUAGAAGAAUGUAAUGUGGACAUCACUGGCUCUCGAUAAUAUCAGUGGCGGCUAGAAAUUAUCUGGUCGCUGGCAGUAGCAGUACGCCCAUUAAGAGGAGCAAUAGAGGACGUUGACAUCACACCAGUCGGUACUCAACCAUCAGCUGGUUUAACGUAGCCACGUUUAACAGUCCGGUGACUGUGUACUCAGGGACUAUGGUGAGGCUUAGGAGAGUCACCAUCGAGGGGGUCGAAAUGCCCCACUAACUUAAUAUUGUUAUAUUUGUGAGUCAAGUACUGAUGGAGUCGACAGACUAAUUGUCAAUUCGUUUAACCUCAGCUGGGACGUCGCAGGCAUUAAUAUCGACAUCCACGUCAUGAAAGAACACUUGACGACGGGCAUGUCUGCAUAGGUAUCUGCGGAAAAGAAAGACUGGACAACGAAUCUGACAGACCGAGUAACCCUUGGGUUGUUGUUGGAGGAUACAAAAGAUUCUCAAACACCAGCUACGGGGCAGACAAUGUCAAAAUUAUCAGUCUAGAUAAGAUAGAAAUUUAUGUACAGGAUGAUUUAUAAAAUAUUAUACAAUUUUUCUAAAAAUAAUUAAGUGUUGAGUUGUUUUCAAAUAUAAAAAGGAUUGAAGUAUUA